UACGAAGGGGGCUAGCGUUGUUCGGAAUCACUGGGCGUAAAGGGCGCGUAGGCGGCCAAUCAAGUCGGGGGUGAAAGCCUGUGGCUUAACCACAGAAUUGCCUUCGAUACUGUUUGGCUUGAGACCGGAAGAGGUCAGUGGAACUGCGAGUGUAGAGGUGAAAUUCGUAGAUAUUCGCAAGAACACCAGUGGCGAAGGCGGCUGACUGGUCCGGAUCUGACGCUGAGGCGCGAAAGCGUGGGGAGCAAACAGG
This 253-nucleotide ribosomal RNA is filed under the name uncultured bacterium. RNAcentral describes it as "partial 16S ribosomal RNA". It matches the Rfam family "Bacterial small subunit ribosomal RNA", at positions 524 to 776 of the family's 1533-position model. The record is from RNAcentral.